UUUAUUGUCUAUUCGCUUGGUAAAAGUGCCCUCUAAAUUUGUUUUUUAUUAUUGUAGUUUCUCUCUCCUCCCUCCAUUCUUGUUCUUCAUCGUUCUCUCUCUUCUCCUGUCGUCGUCUUUUCUCGUUCUCCAUUCGAAUUUUGGAGUCUUGUUACUUGUUCAGAGUAAGUAAAUUUCGCGUCCUUUAGCGGUGGUGCGUCUGCGUGGGCUAUACCUUGUAGAGGUCGGAAUAGGAAUUCGCGAUUUAUGGUCAACCCAAAGGAAGAUGAGGAAGACAGUGGUGCGUUCCAUGAGCUGGAAGAAGGGAUUGGGUCCUUCAAAGUGUGGUAAUGGUGUGAAGGCCCAUGGCCAAAAGGAUGGGGGUUUAAAGGUUCGGUCGAAGGGUAGUGAAGGGCAAAGCUAAGCAGAAAAUGAUUGAUGAGGAUCUUGAAGAGGUAGAUGAGUUUGAGGACGAAGGUGAUGAUGCGAAAAGUAAUAAAUCCGAUGACGAAGGCUAGUCAGUGACUAGUUCUUGUUUUGUGGAGAACAUGAUGAUGGAGUACAUAAAGAGGAAGUCCCAGAAGAGGAAAGUGACAGGGGAAGGAAGUCAUUACAGGAACCAGAAGGUUCCCAAACUUAAAGGGAACAAGGUUUUCAGUAAAGGGGAGGUUUUGAAGACCCACCAUGAGAAUGUAGGCAAGUGUCCGAAUAUUAUGUGCCGUGUGGAGUCAUUUUGUGUUUCAGUUUCCGCGUUUGAUCCAAAGAGGAAAGAUUAGUAAGGAGGAUGGGUUUUGGCGGUUUGCUGGAGUUGGAUAUGAAUAAAAUCCCUAGGCAGUUUUGUUAUUGGCUAAUGGCCAGGGUACGUGAAGAUGCGACUAUGGUUUUUGGAGAAGGUGAAAUUCGAUCUGUUGAUGUGUGCUAACCAGGUGAGGUGUGUGUUAGGCAUUGCAAUGGGUUCGAAACCAGUUCCGAUGGAUGUUGGAGAUGAUGAACAAAAGAUUAUGUUGGUGAAAUCCUGUACGGUGCAUAUGGAAGGGGAUAGAAGAAUGAGACAAUAUCUUUGAAAUUUAUUUCUAUAGUAUUGUGUCCAUUGGGCAGUGAUGAGAAGUUUAUGCCGUUGUUUUUUGAAAAUUGUCAUUUAUAGCUUUAACUUAUUCUUCUGUAAUAAAUGAUCUGUACAUUGGUGUCCCAGAUAUUUUAUCUAGAUCACCUGCACCGGAAACCUGUGAAAUGGGGAGUGUUCCCAAGGGUGAAGAUAUGGAAUUCACUGGAAAUAAGGGCGACUCUUAUGGAAGACAAGCUGACCCGUGACGAGUAUGGGAAGUUAUUGGCAUUGGAUAUAGCGUACAGUGAGGAGCAUCCCCUUGUAACAAAGGAUGCCGAUUGUGUGGGAAGGAAUGUAUCUCUAGUGACUGAUACCCAGAAAAUGAAUGUUAUGGUGACAUAUGUGAUGGACAACGUCAAAUAUUGUUUGUUUGUUGUCUGAAUCUAACUUUUAUACUGUGUGAAAGGGUACUGAAUUCGAUAAAAAAUUCUGAACAUUGUAGGUGAUUGCACAGCUGACCCCAAAGCUGGAGACCGUUAUCGAGGGUAUAGUUGGAAAAGCAUUCAGUGGUUUUGUUGCAAAGAUGACUGGCAUAGGCCAUGACCAACCUGAUGAUGAUUUUUUUUUUUACAACUGGAAGCCAUCGACUGAACACUGGGAGUACCGGAGCGAGGGAGAAACCACACAAUGCGAAGGUGGAAUCCAAACCUUCCAAAAAAAUGGAUGAAGAAUGUUCGGGGGAUAAUGUGAAGUCACCCAUAAGGGAGGAAGAACCUAGGACUUUUAAGCUCGGUGCUUAUGAGAAGAGGCUUGUCACAUUUGCUAAAGGGUGGAAGGAAUUGAAAAACGACAAUGA
Molecule: RNA transcript, 1880 nt
Organism: Chenopodium quinoa (quinoa)
Lineage: Eukaryota; Viridiplantae; Streptophyta; Magnoliopsida; Caryophyllales; Amaranthaceae
Exons: 6
Source: RefSeq, a predicted model, not a curated record